This is a long non-coding RNA of Helianthus annuus (common sunflower), 358 nucleotides long. RefSeq lists it as uncharacterized. The record is from RefSeq and is a predicted model, not a curated record. The transcript is spliced from 3 exons. Lineage: Eukaryota; Viridiplantae; Streptophyta; Magnoliopsida; Asterales; Asteraceae.
UUGUUGUUCGAUCAGGCAGAGACCAAAAAGGGAGAAACCCUAGCUCUUAGAGAUUAUCAAGAUUAAGGAGAAAUUGAGAGCCCAAACCAAUGCUAGAACCCGAAAUUUCAUCCAUCUAAGCUUGAACAUCAAAAGGCGUGAAGGAAGAAAGCACGAACACUAAUAGGGCGGAAGGUGUACAAGACCGAGGUAAAUCCUCGAUUUAGACGAUUGGACGGCCCGGAACGUGCACACUUGGUUUACGCCCGCCUCACGCUUCCGUUAUAAAUUACUUUUGAAAUGGGUCAAUUUUGUGGUCGUAUGUACUUUAAGUCUAUGUAGUAUGUUGUUGUCUUGUUGUAGGGCAAAAACUUAGUAG